Molecule: small nucleolar RNA, 126 nt
Organism: Suncus etruscus (white-toothed pygmy shrew)
Lineage: Eukaryota; Metazoa; Chordata; Mammalia; Eulipotyphla; Soricidae
Product: small nucleolar RNA SNORA51
Exons: 1
Source: RefSeq, a predicted model, not a curated record
GGCCUCCCAAUUCUUACCACAGCCUGUGUUCUUUACACUAACUAAGAAGAGGUACAGUAAAUGCAUCCCAUAUACACCUCAACCCAGGCCCUUUGCCUGGUCUGUAUUGUGAAUUGGGGCACAAAA